CCUACGGGAGGCAGCAGUGAGGAAUAUUGGUCAAUGGGCGCGAGCCUGAACCAGCCAAGUAGCGUGAAGGAUGACUGCCCUACGGGUUGUAAACUUCUUUUAUAAAGGAAUAAAGUGAGGCACGUGUGCCUUUUUGUAUGUACUUUAUGAAUAAGGAUCGGCUAACUCCGUGCCAGCAGCCGCGGUAAUACGGAGGAUCCGAGCGUUAUCCGGAUUUAUUGGGUUUAAAGGGAGCGUAGAUGGGGUGUUAAGUCAGUUGUGAAAGUUUGCGGCGCAACCGGAAAAUUGCAAUUGAUACUGGCAGCCUUGAGUACAGGUGAGGUAGGAGGAAUUCGUGGUGUAGCGGUGAAAUGCUUAGAUAUCACGAAGAACUCCGAUUGCGAAGGCAGCUUACUAAACUGCAACUGACAUUGAUGCUCGAAAGUGUGGGUAUCAAACAGGAUUAGAUACCCGAGUAGUC
RNAcentral lists this ribosomal RNA (460 nucleotides) under uncultured bacterium. RNAcentral's name for it is "partial 16S ribosomal RNA". It matches the Rfam family "Bacterial small subunit ribosomal RNA", at positions 338 to 795 of the family's 1533-position model. The record is from RNAcentral.